This 765-nucleotide ribosomal RNA is filed under the name uncultured Streptococcus sp. RNAcentral's name for it is "bacterial SSU rRNA". It matches the Rfam family "Bacterial small subunit ribosomal RNA", at positions 28 to 776 of the family's 1533-position model. The record is from RNAcentral. Lineage: Bacteria; Bacillati; Bacillota; Bacilli; Lactobacillales; Streptococcaceae.
GAUGAACGCUGGCGGCGUGCCUAAUACAUGCAAGUAGAACGCUGAAGCUUGGUGCUUGCACCGAGCGGAUGAGUUGCGAACGGGUGAGUAACGCGUAGGUAACCUGCCUGGUAGCGGGGGAUAACUAUUGGAAACGAUAGCUAAUACCGCAUAACAGUAGAUGUUGCAUGAUAUCUGCUUGAAAGGGGCAAUUGCUCCACUACCAGAUGGACCUGCGUUGUAUUAGCUAGUUGGUGAGGUAACGGCUCACCAAGGCGACGAUACAUAGCCGACCUGAGAGGGUGAUCGGCCACACUGGGACUGAGACACGGCCCAGACUCCUACGGGAGGCAGCAGUAGGGAAUCUUCGGCAAUGGACGGAAGUCUGACCGAGCAACGCCGCGUGAGUGAAGAAGGUUUUCGGAUCGUAAAGCUCUGUUGUAAGAGAAGAACGAGUGUGAGAGUGGAAAGUUCACACUGUGACGGUAUCUUACCAGAAAGGGACGGCUAACUACGUGCCAGCAGCCGCGGUAAUACGUAGGUCCCGAGCGUUAUCCGGAUUUAUUGGGCGUAAAGCGAGCGCAGGCGGUUAGAUAAGUCUGAAGUUAAAGGCUGUGGCUUAACCAUAGUACGCCUUGGAAACUGUUUAACUUGAGUGCAAGAGGGGAGAGUGGAAUUCCAUGUGUAGCGGUGAAAUGCGUAGAUAUAUGGAGGAACACCGGUGGCGAAAGCGGCUCUCUGGCUUGUAACUGACGCUGAGGCUCGAAAGCGUGGGGAGCAAACAGG